RNAcentral lists this ribosomal RNA (468 nucleotides) under uncultured bacterium. Its description in RNAcentral is "partial 16S ribosomal RNA". It matches the Rfam family "Bacterial small subunit ribosomal RNA", at positions 28 to 507 of the family's 1533-position model. The record is from RNAcentral.
GACGAACGCUGGCGGCGUGCUUAACACAUGCAAGUCGAACGGAAAGGCCCUGCUUUUGUGGGGUGCUCGAGUGGCGAACGGGUGAGUAACACGUGAGUAACCUGCCCUUGACUUUGGGAUAACUUCAGGAAACUGGGGCUAAUACCGGAUAGGAGCUCCUGCUGCAUGGUGGGGGUUGGAAAGUUUCGGCGGUUGGGGAUGGACUCGCGGCUUAUCAGCUUGUUGGUUGGGUAGUGGCUUACCAAGGCUUUGACGGGUAGCCGGCCUGAGAGGGUGACCGGCCACACUGGGCCUGGGCUACGGCCCAGACUCCUACGGGAGGCAGCAGUGGGGAAUAUUGCACUAUGGGCGGAAGCCUGAUGCAGCAACGCCGCGUGCGGGAUGACGGCCUUCGGGUUGUAAACCGCUUUCGCCUGUGCCGAAGCGUGAGUGACGGUACUGGGUAAAGAAGCACCGGCUAACUACGUG